This 578-nucleotide ribosomal RNA is filed under the name Geomyces sp. 17WV03. Its description in RNAcentral is "eukaryotic LSU rRNA". The stretch from base 231 to 384 matches the Rfam family "5.8S ribosomal RNA". The record is from RNAcentral. Lineage: Eukaryota; Fungi; Ascomycota; Leotiomycetes; Thelebolales; Pseudeurotiaceae.
AGAGGAAGUAAAAGUCGUAACAAGGUUUCCGUAGGUGAACCUGCGGAAGGAUCAUUACAGUAGUCAUCCGGGUUGCCGCAAGGCCUCCCGGGUAACCUACCACCCUUUGUUUAUUACACUUUGUUGCUUUGGCAGGCCUGCCCUCGGGCUGCUGGCUCCGGCCGGCGAGCGCUUGCCAGAGGACCUAAACUCUGUUUGUCUAUACUGUCUGAGUACUAUAUAAUAGUUAAAACUUUCAACAACGGAUCUCUUGGUUCUGGCAUCGAUGAAGAACGCAGCGAAAUGCGAUAAGUAAUGUGAAUUGCAGAAUUCAGUGAAUCAUCGAAUCUUUGAACGCACAUUGCGCCCCCUGGUAUUCCGGGGGGCAUGCCUGUCCGAGCGUCAUUACAACCCUCAAGCUCAGCUUGGUAUUGGGCCCCGCCGCUCCGGCGGGCCCUAAAGUCAGUGGCGGUGCCGUCCGGCUCCGAGCGUAGUAAUUCUUCUCGCUCUGGAGGUCCGGUCGUGUGCUCGCCAGCAACCCCCAAUUUUUUUCAGGUGACCUCGGAUCAGGUAGGGAUACCCGCUGAACUUAAGCAUAU